RNAcentral lists this ribosomal RNA (324 nucleotides) under uncultured Bacillota bacterium. RNAcentral describes it as "bacterial SSU rRNA". It matches the Rfam family "Bacterial small subunit ribosomal RNA", at positions 30 to 351 of the family's 1533-position model. Lineage: Bacteria; Bacillati; Bacillota. The record is from RNAcentral.
AUUGAACGCUGGCGGCAGGCCUAACACAUGCAAGUCGAGCGGUAGAGAGAAGCUUGCUUCUCUUGAGAGCGGCGGACGGGUGAGUAACGCGUGGGUAACCUGCCCUGUACACACGGAUAACAUACCGAAAGGUAUGCUAAUACGGGAUAAUAUGAGAGAGUCGCAUGGUUUUCUUAUCAAAGCUCCGGCGGUACAGGAUGGACCCGCGUCUGAUUAGUUAGUUGGUGAGGUAACGGCUUACCAAGGCGACGAUCAGUAGCCGACCUGAGAGGGUGAUCGGCCACAUUGGAACUGAGACACGGUCCAAACUCCUACGGGUGGCAG